AGGCCUGAGGUCCUUUGCAGUGAGGUCACCUCAUGUCUGCUGCCCAUCUCCCCCCCAGCCCGCCCCCCCUCCCACACACACACUCCUGUGAACUCCUCCCAGGCCUCACAAUCACUGCUCAGUGCCUGGCACACAUGAAGUGCAUAAUAAUUCUUGGUUAGAUUCAAAUCAACUGCAAAGGCCGGCUGGGCCUCAGCAUCAGCAGGCCCACAUGCGGGGAGGCUCGGGCCGGGGGCUGCUCUGGGUGGGGGGAUUGGCCGGAGGGCGGGGCCCGGUCACAAUCCAGGAAGGACUCUGACUUCCUGGCCCGGGCUCCUCCCAGGCUGGCCUCUGCCCACCUCCCCGCCGUUCCGCCACUACCCGCUCUGGCCAGCAGGGGGCUCCCACCACACAUGAAUGAGAGGCUCCAAGACUGAGCUAGACUUGAGGCCCCCCCCACGGCGGUGCCUCGCAGGCACGGGGAACUCUGCUUGGAGAAGAGCCUGGGCCUGGGCUUCCCGGAAGGGGAAGCAGCUGGUCAACGAGGCUCUGCAGGCUCCAGCAGCCCAAGAGACACCCACAGGCACAGAUGAGCUCAGUUCCGUGCCCUCUGCAUGCUGGGCACAGUGGCCCCCUGUUCAGCCCCAGAGUCAGAUACCCUGGCUCUCUCACUCUCUGGCUCUGGGACCCUGAACUAGUGGCCUCGCCCCUCUGGAUGUGAUCUUCCUCCCUGAUGGGCUGGGCCAAAUGCUUUCAAUGACACAAACCUUUAGUGAGGACUUCCCAGUGCAAGGGGGUCUCAGACAUGGGCACAAAAGCAGCCCCUGCCCCGGAAUGGAUUGAGACUGUUGGAGAGGGGAGAAGAGAAGGUGCCACAAAAACCACUCACUGUGAAGGGUCACAGGGAGGCAGGAGUGAGAGCCGCCCAGAGGGGCUCCAUUCAAGGCUUAACUCUACCCUGUGUCUUAAGCAAGUUUCCUAAGCUCUCUGAGCCUCAGACUUCCCAUCUAUAAAAUGGGAAUGAUUUCAUAUAUGCAAGAUACUUAGAACAGUGUUGGGUACCUACUCAGCUAUGUUAAGUGCUAUCAUUUAUUAUUAUUAUUAUUAUUAUUAUUAUUAUUAUUAUUACAAGGCAAACUGGGCACAUGCUUUCACGGUACAGAACAAGCUGGGGCCAUUGGAGGAAGGAAGAUUCAUGAGGUCAAGAGUGUUGAAGAUCUGGAAGGCUUCUUGGAAGAGGUGCCCACGAAAGAUAAGCUAAGUGGAGGCUGGCUUUUCCAGACAACGGAGCCAGGAGGAGCUAGGACAAGGAUGCACAACAGGCCGGGAGGAAAAAGAGGCUCGCUGGGGUGAAGAGACAUGUCCAAGGGGUGCCCCACCACGGAGGCUCCGGAUGAGGAAGACAGAGACAGAAGUCACUGACAGUCCCUGGGCAUGCCUCCUCGUAUCCGGCCCUCGUAGUAGUCGGCAAGGUAGACGGAGUUAUUCCCAUUGGAGCGAAACCUUAAUUCCCUUCUCUUCCUCCUCCGAGGGACUUUCAUGGAAUGAAUAAGAGCCCAGAGAGGACCCCACUUUGACCCAAACAAAGUAUUUUUUGAAUAAAAGGUGCCCUAUGGAAAAAUAAAUAAACAAAAUAUGCUCAUUAUAGAACACUGGAUAAGGCAAUAAUCGGGAGAAAAAAACCUGAGAUCAAGAACGCCUCUACCUGGUCAUUAAUAAAAAUUCCAGGUUAUUCCCGGCUCACCUAUAAGUUGGAUGUGUUCACAUUUGGGCAAAGCUAAUGCGUAUACAAGCUUAUAACAUGUAUCUUCCUUGGACCAUGGACUUGACAGUGCCCCACGUACAGCAGUCAGGCCAGGCCAAGUUAUGCUGUGGUAACAAAGAGCCCCCAACAUUUCAGUGGCUUCGCACACAAGAGUUUAUGCCUUGCUCGCACUGUACGCUCGGUGAGGGGGUUGGACAGCGGUCUCCGCGUAUCAGUCAUUCAAGAAACCAGGCUGAGGAAGUGUCAUCCUGACACAGACUGGGUAGGACCCAACGCUCUGGCUCGCAUCUCAUUGGCCAGAGCAAGUCACGUGGCCAUGUAACGUCAAGGGGGCGGGGCAGCACCGGCCUGCUACCUGCCCUUCGAGACAAGAGAACAGAAAUACUUGGAUUGCCGAGCUAGUGCCAGUUACGUGUAGCGUGGCCACCUGUCCUCCUUCCUCGGGGCCAGGGGUUUCCUAGCCUCGAACACAGGACCGUUGGCGCUGAGACGGAAAAAGUCCUGGGCAAACCCUCACUGUGCCCUGUACUCUAUUCUGCCCAAACUCGCUCCUCAAUGACAACGGACCAUCUAGUGGAGAAGUGGCGGUUUUUCUCCCUCGUCCCCUAUUGUUGGAGACUUACAUUGUUUCUAAUUGUGCACAUUUAUAAAUACAUUGUCUAAAAUAUCUUCGCGAAUAAACCCUUGUCCAUCUGGC
This is a long non-coding RNA of Suricata suricatta (meerkat), 2441 nucleotides long. RefSeq lists it as uncharacterized. Lineage: Eukaryota; Metazoa; Chordata; Mammalia; Carnivora; Herpestidae. The record is from RefSeq and is a predicted model, not a curated record. The transcript is spliced from 2 exons.